Molecule: long non-coding RNA, 623 nt
Filed under: Ricinus communis (castor bean)
Lineage: Eukaryota; Viridiplantae; Streptophyta; Magnoliopsida; Malpighiales; Euphorbiaceae
Description: long non-coding RNA (RCOM_LNC002238)
Source: RNAcentral
UUUGUUAAGUAGAUAGAUUAAAGUUGGCUAAUGAUCUUGAUCAUUAGUUUGGUCUCUGUCUGCCAAUUAGCUCUAGUUGGGAAUAAAAAGUUUCUUCUUACCCAACUCGUCUUUUUAUGGACAGACAUUUAUGGGAAGGAACCUUGAUAACAUAGGUCUGGUUUGGUCAUGUACAUGUGGUUCGACAUUUAUAGAAAUGAAUGUCAGGCUUUGCACGUUUAACUGAUAUUUCAACCUAUUGUUUUUCUAGGGACUUAUGGUUAGAUAUUCAGGAAGAACUCUUAUUGGUGCCUAACUUUUUACUUCUAAUUUCAGCUUAAAACAAAAAGUUUAAAUUUCAAUAAGUUUUUUGGUUGCUAUCCUGUUUUUUUUUCGAUCAAUUUGUUAGGAGAACGGUGAGGUGAUGCUAGCUUUAUUAGUUUCGUUUGUGGAUUUGAUAUCUUUGACUCAGUAAUUAUAUGUUUUGUAAUUUCUUCUUGCUUUUUUUUGGAAACAAUAGCUGUCGUUUAUCUAGACUUGAAAAGAGUUCUUCUAGCAUUCCAAUAAUCUCAGUGAGCAAUCCGGAGAAAGGAGCCUUGUGGCUAUGUUCUUAUGAUGAGGGAGUUUCUCUACUACCUUAUGUG